GGGGAAACUUACCGGGUCCGGACACACUGAGGAUUGACAGGCGUUUACUGUGUUUUGGGAUUUCGUGGCACCUUCGGGUGUUGUGUUAUGUUCAUUUCCAGUAUAGCAAAUAUGCUAGUCCUUUCAUGAUUGUGUGAUAGGUGGUGCAUGGCCGUUCUUAGUUCGUGGAGUGAUCUGUCUGCUUAAUUGCGUUUCACAUUAAGAACGAAAGAGUCCCGCCUGUGUUUGUGGUACGCCACGAAUACGGCUUUUAUGUGGAUUUCUACAACGUUCUGAAGGCAACGA
RNAcentral lists this ribosomal RNA (285 nucleotides) under Allogromiina sp. 1222. RNAcentral's name for it is "partial 18S ribosomal RNA". It matches the Rfam family "Eukaryotic small subunit ribosomal RNA", at positions 1207 to 1432 of the family's 1831-position model. Lineage: Eukaryota; Foraminifera; Allogromiidae. The record is from RNAcentral.